RNAcentral lists this ribosomal RNA (253 nucleotides) under uncultured bacterium. Its description in RNAcentral is "partial 16S ribosomal RNA". It matches the Rfam family "Bacterial small subunit ribosomal RNA", at positions 524 to 776 of the family's 1533-position model. The record is from RNAcentral.
UACGUAGGGGGCUAGCGUUGUCCGGAAUCAUUGGGCGUAAAGCGCGCGUAGGCGGCUCGGUAAGUCCGCUCUGAAAGUCCAGGGCUCAACCCUGGGAUGCGGGUGGAUACUGCCGGGCUCGAGUCCGGAAGAGGCGAGUGGAAUUCCCGGUGUAGCGGUGAAAUGCGCAGAUAUCGGGAGGAACACCAAUGGCGAAGGCAGCUCGCUGGGACGUGACUGACGCUGAGGAGCGAAAGCCAGGGGAGCAAACGGG